GACGAACGCUGGCGGCGUGCUUAACACAUGCAAGUCGAACGAUGAAGAAGAGCUUGCUCUUUGGAUUAGUGGCGAACGGGUGAGUAACACGUGAGCAAUCUGCCCUUGACUCUGGGAUAAGCGUUGGAAACGACGUCUAAUACCGGAUACGACCCUCGGAGGCAUCUCCUGGGGGUGGAAAGAAUUUUGGUCAAGGAUGAGCUCGCGGCCUAUCAGCUAGUUGGUGAGGUAAUGGCUCACCAAGGCGACGACGGGUAGCCGGCCUGAGAGGGUGACCGGCCACACUGGGACUGAGACACGGCCCAGACUCCUACGGGAGGCAGCAGUGGGGAAUAUUGCACAAUGGGCGAAAGCCUGAUGCAGCAACGCCGCGUGAGGGACGACGGCCUUCGGGUUGUAAACCUCUUUUAGUAGGGAAGAAGCGAAAGUGACGGUACCUGCAGAAAAAGCACCGGCUAACUACGUGCCAGCAGCCGCGGUAAUACGUAGGGUGCAAGCGUUGUCCGGAAUUAUUGGGCGUAAAGAGCUCGUAGGCGGUUUGUCGCGUCUGCUGUGAAAACUGGAGGCUCAACCUCCAGCCUGCAGUGGGUACGGGCAGACUAGAGUGCGGUAGGGGAGAUUGGAAUUCCUGGUGUAGCGGUGGAAUGCGCAGAUAUCAGGANNAACACCGAUGGCGAAGGCAGAUCUCUGGGCCGUAACUGACGCUGAGGAGCGAAAGCAUGGGGAGCGAACAGGAUUAGAUACCCUGGUAGUCCAUGCCGUAAACGUUGGGAACUAGAUGUGGGGACCAUUUUCCACGGGUUUUCCCUUGUUCGCCAGCUU
This 822-nucleotide ribosomal RNA is filed under the name Glaciibacter kafniensis. RNAcentral's name for it is "bacterial SSU rRNA". It matches the Rfam family "Bacterial small subunit ribosomal RNA", at positions 28 to 860 of the family's 1533-position model. The record is from RNAcentral. Lineage: Bacteria; Bacillati; Actinomycetota; Actinomycetes; Micrococcales; Microbacteriaceae.